UACGUAGGUGACAAGCGUUGUCCGGAUUUACUGGGCGUAAAGAGCGCGCAGGCGGUCGAUCAAGUCGAGUGUGAAAGCCCCCGGCUCAACUGGGGAGGGUCAUUCGAUACUGAUCGACUCGAAGGCAGGAGAGGGUAGUGGAAUUCCCGGUGUAGUGGUGAAAUGCGUAGAUAUCUGGAGGAACACCGGUGGCGAAGGCGCCCACCUGGCCUGCUACUGACGCUGAAGCUCGAAAGCUAGGGGAGCAAACGGG
Molecule: ribosomal RNA, 253 nt
Filed under: uncultured bacterium
Lineage: Bacteria
Description: partial 16S ribosomal RNA
Rfam family: Bacterial small subunit ribosomal RNA
Source: RNAcentral